CAUCGUGGAUGACACAGAARUGUAUACAACUUUCAGCAACGGAUCUCUUGGCUCUCGCAUCGAUGAAGAACGCAGCGAAUUGCGAUAAGUAAUGUGAAUUGCAGAUUUCCAGUGAAUCAUCGAAUCUUUGAACGCACCUUGCGCUCCUUGGUAUUCCGAGGAGCAUGCCUGUUUGAGUGUCAUCGAAUUCUCAAUCGUGUCGUGUGCGUCAAGCAUGGGACACGACUUGGAGUUGGGUGUUGCUGGCCGCCCCACAGGGCAGUCAGCUCUCCUUAAAUGCAUUAGCGAACAGCUUCGGUCUCGAAGGACGCGAACGGCUUUUGGCGUGAUAAUGAUCGUCGUCGCCCAAAGCGUCUCGUUCAAGAUCCAUGUUUGCUUCGAAACCUAGAGAGAAGGGACUUCUGACCAGUCUGAAGCGUGAAGUGGAGUCAAGCUUAGCUAGCUACUAGCUUGCUUUCGAGCGAGCGAACGCAGUGCGACAAGGCUUCUGUCAGACUCUUCGGUCCAGAAACUCUCACUCUCGCUUGAAAAGGACGAAAACGGAGGAAGGGAGAAUGAAAAGACGUCAGAUGGGACCUUCCACAGGCACUGCUAAUCUGGGGGAUGGGCGAGGCGGAGCUCUAGCUACUAGCUUGCGAGAGCAAGCRAACGCAGAGCAAGGCUUCCUCGACGAUCGGACUGGCAGUGUUGGGAGAUCGCUCGAAGUCAGGAGUUCCCUAGGUCUGAAGUGGACGUCCUUUUCGAUCGAAAGGUGAC
RNAcentral lists this small RNA (756 nucleotides) under uncultured Boletellus. Its description in RNAcentral is "eukaryotic LSU rRNA". The stretch from base 28 to 182 matches the Rfam family "5.8S ribosomal RNA". Lineage: Eukaryota; Fungi; Basidiomycota; Agaricomycetes; Boletales; Boletaceae. The record is from RNAcentral.